Mycena alexandri is the source of this 94-nucleotide non-coding RNA. NCBI's taxonomy places the organism in Eukaryota, Fungi, Basidiomycota, Agaricomycetes, Agaricales, Mycenaceae. The record is from the annotation of a GenBank genome assembly.
GGCCUGAUGGUGUAGUGGUAACACAUCCCUUUCAAUCAACUGCGCCUCCAUGUGACUUUGUGAGAAGUUCCUUGUUCGAAUCAAGGUCAGGCUG